Centropristis striata (black sea bass) is the source of this 478-nucleotide long non-coding RNA. RefSeq lists it as uncharacterized. NCBI's taxonomy places the organism in Eukaryota, Metazoa, Chordata, Actinopteri, Perciformes, Serranidae. The transcript is spliced from 4 exons. The record is from RefSeq and is a predicted model, not a curated record.
ACAUUCAUGUUUAUGACGGUCCAAUGAAAGUGACGUAUACAACUCGUAUAAAUGCGACGGCGCUGACCGAUGACGUCCUUCGUGGAGACGAUUCCUUAGCAGUCGCCUUCCCGUCUCAACAUGAGGGCUAAGUGGAGAAAGAAGCGCAUGCGCAGGCUGAAGCGUAAGAGGAGAAAGAUGAGGCAGAGGUCCAAGUAGACUGUCCUCUCCGCCAUGGCUGUGACAGCACGUGUUGCCCACAAUCAGACCGGUGAGCUCAGCUGAAGACCCCAGGACCCUCACGGUGUCAAGUCUGCCAGUGGCCCCGUAUCAAGCAGAGGCAGCAGCGGAGCUGCAGCAGCUGGUGGUACCGAGGAGCUGAUUCAAGACCUGCUGGAUGACAGGCUUUUCUUCUGGGACAUUCUGGACUUUUUGUUCUUAAUUCCUCAACUUUUGUCGUUUGUUUAUACUGUGAUUAAAGGUUUUGGUUUCUAAAUAA